UUUGUUUAACCUAAAUUCCUUCGAAGAGGGAAAUGCCUCGAUCGCAGUGGCCUUCUCGGACACCAACCUUUUCUCCCAUUGAUUCACAGUAAUGCUUAGACCCUCCACCAAAUGUUCCUAGCAUCACUUUGAGCCUUCACAGCCUCAACUUCCAAUGACUUGACUUCGGCCUUCAGUGACCAAACUUCCUCCUCGACCAUUACCUUGAAAGCUAUGGCCUCGUCCACCUUUUUAGAGGCCUGAGUAGCCC
This 250-nucleotide long non-coding RNA is filed under the name Elaeis guineensis (African oil palm). RNAcentral describes it as "long non-coding RNA (EGUI_LNC021973)". The record is from RNAcentral. Lineage: Eukaryota; Viridiplantae; Streptophyta; Magnoliopsida; Arecales; Arecaceae.